UACAGAGAGUGCAAGCGUUAAUCGGAAUUACUGGGCGUAAAGCGCGCGUAGGUGGAUGCUUAAGUCGGAUGUGAAAGCCCUGGGCUUAACCUGGGAACUGCAUUCGAUACUGGGCGUCUAGAGUAUAGUAGAGGGAAGUGGAAUUUCAGGUGUAGCGGUGAAAUGCGUAGAUAUCUGAAGGAACAUCAGUGGCGAAAGCGGCUUCCUGGACUAAUACUGACACUGAGGUGCGAAAGCGUGGGGAGCAAACAGG
This 253-nucleotide unclassified non-coding RNA is filed under the name uncultured Gammaproteobacteria bacterium. RNAcentral's name for it is "contains 16S-23S intergenic spacer region". It matches the Rfam family "Bacterial small subunit ribosomal RNA", at positions 524 to 776 of the family's 1533-position model. The record is from RNAcentral. Lineage: Bacteria; Pseudomonadati; Pseudomonadota; Gammaproteobacteria.